RNAcentral lists this ribosomal RNA (443 nucleotides) under uncultured bacterium. Its description in RNAcentral is "partial 16S ribosomal RNA". It matches the Rfam family "Bacterial small subunit ribosomal RNA", at positions 338 to 795 of the family's 1533-position model. The record is from RNAcentral.
CCUACGGGUGGCAGCAGUGGGGAAUAUUGGGCAAUGGGCGCAAGCCUGACCCAGCAACGCCGCGUGAAGGAAGAAGGCUUUCGGGAUGUAAACUUCUUUUCUCAGGGACGAAGAAAGCGACGGUAGCUGAGGAAUAAGCCACGGCUAACUACGUGCCAGCAGCCGCGGUAAGACGUAGAUGGCAAGCGUUAUCCGGAUUUAUUGGGUGUAAAGGGUGUGUAGGCGGGAGCGACAGUCAGAUGUGAAAACUCAUGGCUCAACCCUGGGCCUGCAUUUGAAACUGUGUUUCUUGAGUGCUGGAGAGGCAAGCGGAAUUCCGUGUGUAGCGGUGAAAUGCGUAGAUAUACGGAGGAACACCAGUGGCGAAGGCGGAUUGCUGGACAGUAACUGACGCUGAGGCGCGAAAGCGUGGGGAGCAAACAGGAUUAGAUACCCGUGUAGUC